RNAcentral lists this ribosomal RNA (483 nucleotides) under uncultured bacterium. Its description in RNAcentral is "bacterial SSU rRNA". It matches the Rfam family "Bacterial small subunit ribosomal RNA", at positions 29 to 507 of the family's 1533-position model. The record is from RNAcentral.
AUGAACGCUAGCGGCAGGCUUAACACAUGCAAGUCGAGGGGCAGCAUACCCGGCAACGGGUGAUGGCGACCGGCGUAAGGGUGAGUAACGCGUGAGCAACAUACCCGUAUCAGUGGGAUAAUACAGGGAAACUUGUUCUAAUAUCACAUAAUAUUAUUCAGAGGCAUCUUUGGAUAAUUAAAGUUCAGGCGGAUACGGAAUGGCUCGCGUGACAUUAGCUAGAUGGUAGGGUAAAGGCCUACCAUGGCUAUGAUGUCUAGGGGUUCUGAGAGGGAGGUCCCCCACACUGGAACUGAGACACGGUCCAGACUCCUACGGGAGGCAGCAGUGAGGAAUAUUGGACAAUGGAUGAAAAUCUGAUCCAGCCAUGCCGCGUGCAGGAAGGCGGCCCUAUGGGUUGUAAACUGCUUUUGUACGGGAGCAAUAAGGUCUACGAGUAGAUUGAUGAGAGUACUGUACGAAUAAGCAUCGGCUAACUCCGUG